Molecule: ribosomal RNA, 309 nt
Filed under: uncultured eukaryote
Lineage: Eukaryota
Description: partial 18S ribosomal RNA
Rfam family: Eukaryotic small subunit ribosomal RNA
Source: RNAcentral
CCCUUAGAUGUUCUGGGCGGCCCGCGCACUACAAUGGCGUGUGCAGCGAGUGCCGAAGUAGAGUUUUCCGAGGUAUUCUUGCAAUGCUCGUUUUGAUGGGGAUAGACCCUUGCAACUGUUGGUUUUGAACGAGGAAUUCCUUGUAAGCAUGGUUUAUCAUCCGACGCUGAAUGCGUCCCUGCCCUUUGUACACACCGCCCGUCGCUCCUACCGAUGAGCCGUCCGGUGAAGUUCGUAGACCUCGUGAUCGCGGAUCACUGGGGGAAGCAAAAUGAACCUCGCGGUUUAGAGGAAGGAGAAGUCGUAACA